CUAGAUCACAUCAUCAGAACUUCACCCCUUCCUCCCGUGAGGGACAAGGGCGGUUGACAUGGCGUCUCCCGGCGGCUCCGACGGAGCACCCACGGGCAAAGACCUUCCUCAGCCCUCCACAUCCAGCUCCGGAUCCAGGUCCAGCAUAAACAGUACCCUGGGUACCAAGUUAGAAAAUGCAAAGAGACUAUCAAUACAACAUUUGGAAGUCAUCACGGAUAGUUUCUCCCCUGAACGAGUAAUUGGUCGAGGUGGAUACGGAACGGUCUACAAGGGUGUGAAUGGCGAUGGGAAACAUGUUGCUGUGAAGGUGCUCCAUAAAAAUACGACAGGAACUGACAAUGGUGAAUUCAAACAUGAGUUUGAAAGUCUGAUGAGGCUCAAGCAUCACAACAUUGUCCAGUUAGUUGGCUACUGCUACGAGACACAACAUAAGCCUAUGCUGCACGAGGGAGAAACCAUUUUUGCUGAAGAUAUAUACAGAGCGCUCUGCUUUGAGUAUAUGCAAAAUGGGAGCCUUAAAAGGCAUAUUUCUGUGGAAUGUGAGGGACUUGAAUGGCACGCGCGCUACAAACUUAUCAAGGGAACUUGCGAAGGAUUGAAAUACCUCCACGAAGAAUUCAAAGAACCACUUUACCAUUUGGACCUAAAACCUGACAACAUAUUGCUAGAUGAGAAUAUGGUACCGAAACUUGCUGAUUUUGGUUCGGCGAAGCUCUUUGACAAAGAGCUAACCAUGGUUAUCACACAUCCUGUUGAAGCAACACGUGGAUACAUACCCCAAGAAUACAUAUCUGAUGGCGUCGUCUCGAAAAAGUUUGACAUAUUCAGCUUGGGUGUUGUAAUGACAAAGAUAAUUGCAGGGCCCAAAGCCAUCUCCUUACGUGUCGACAUGGGUUACCAAGCCUUUCUUGAUCAGGUACAAAAAAACUGGAGGAACAGGCUGCAGGAAACAUGGCUUAAUUCUGAACCAGUAGAAGCAUAUUGCCGACAAGUGAACAUAUGCAUAGCAAUAGCGCUGAGCUGCACGGUUGAUGAUAAGAACAAAAGACCCAGUAUACUGGACAUCAUUGAUAAACUGAACGAGACUGAAACCAUAAUCAAAGAGUUGGACCCGGAUCACCGAUGGACAAGCCAACACAUUACUAUUGGUAGUACAUCAAAGAAUGAAGCUACUCCUUUGAAAGAGAAGAAUAUUGAGAAGGUUACGGAACCAAGAAGUUUUUCUCUCCGAGUACUAGAAGAGAUCACAAAUGAUUUCUCCAAGGAGCGAGCAAUUGGUCAAGGCGCGUAUGCAAAAGUUUACUUGGGGAAGCUUGAAAAUGGAGAAGAAAUUGCCGUGAAGUUGCUGCAUGAUAACACGCUAUCAAUUAACGAUGAGCUAUUCCAAAAUGAGUUUGAUAACCUCAGGAAGCUCAACCAUCCGAACAUUGUACGGUUUGUUGGCUACUGUUAUGAAACACAACGUCAACAUUUGGAGUUCCACGGUAGAACAGUUUUUGGUGGAACAACAUAUAGAGUGCUCUGUUUCGAGUAUAUGCGCAUGGGGAGCCUUCAAAGACAUCUUUCUGACGAAUCUUGUGGACUUGACUGGCAAAGUCGUUACGAAAUUAUCAAGGGGACAUGUGAGGGUUUGAAGUACCUACACGAAGGAUUAAAAGAAUCACUUUACCAUUUGGGCCUAAAUCCCGACAAUAUACUGCUAGAUGAGAAUAUGAUUCCAAAACUUAUUGAUUUUGGUUCGGCCAAGAUCUUUGAUGAAGAACUAACCAGGGUCACGCAGAGUCGUUGGGGAACAAUGGGAUACAUGCCGCCCGAAUACUUAUUCAAUGGCCACGUCUCGAAGAAGUUUGACAUAUUCAGCUUGGGUGUUAUAAUGACAAAGAUAAUUGCAGGGCCUGAGGGUCGCGUUAGAAGUGCUGAAAUGCCUUAUCAAGAGUUUCUUGAUCAACUCUACACUUUGACACACAGGUACAUGAAAACUGGAGGAACAGGCUGGAACCAACGUGUACUUCUUCGCAGACACUAGAUGCAUACUGCGAGCAAGUGAUUAUAUGCACUCAGAUAGCACUGAGCUGCGUGGAGGAGCACAGGGACAAAAGGCCCAGUAUAGUCGACAUUAUUGACAUACUCUAUGCGACUGAAAGUAUGAUUGAGGAGGCUAGACGUCCGUGAUCGUGGAGCUGUGCCGCCUGCUGGAGGGGGAGCUCGGGAACGCGGACCAAACCGAAAGUGUAGCGGCUACUACUUUGUGGAUGUGCGGAUAUCGGCCUCCCCGGUGUGUUAUGCCGGCGCCGCCUUCGUCUUUCUAAUCGGGCUCUUUGUGGAUCAUCACUGCUCCUACUUCUACAAAAAGGCCAGCUCUGCCAACAACGUACGGAUCACCGCUUAUCAUCUACGUACGCCGGCCGUCUUCACCGCCGGCAUGGCGCUUCCUAUGAAUGUCUUAUAUGCACGCUUGGUUAGCUUGCCUUAUGCUUUGUCUUUAUUAUUUUCGCACAUUUGGCCUAUAAUUUUUUUGAAAAGGUUAUCGUCAUAACCGUUGAAACUUAAUCUAAAUUCCGCUACACUGCUGUAUGCGGCACGGUCUUA
This is a non-coding RNA of Aegilops tauschii subsp. strangulata, 2592 nucleotides long. The record is from RefSeq and is a predicted model, not a curated record. NCBI's taxonomy places the organism in Eukaryota, Viridiplantae, Streptophyta, Magnoliopsida, Poales, Poaceae.